GUACUCUCACACUCUCUGAUCCUUUGGAUUUGGGGAGCGGUGGACUUGGGUGCUUGCUGCUUUCUAUGUGGCUCACCUCAAAUGUGUUAGUGCAUCUCUUGAUUGGACAUAGUACGGCGUGAUAAGUGUCUUCGCCGGCGCCUUGAAAGAGGGUGGCUAAUUGGGAGCUCUGUGCUUCUUAAACUGUCUUCGGACAAUAUCUGACA
RNAcentral lists this unclassified non-coding RNA (206 nucleotides) under uncultured Sebacina. RNAcentral's name for it is "sequence contains ITS2". Lineage: Eukaryota; Fungi; Basidiomycota; Agaricomycetes; Sebacinales; Sebacinaceae. The record is from RNAcentral.